This is a long non-coding RNA of Sapajus apella (tufted capuchin), 647 nucleotides long. RefSeq lists it as uncharacterized. Lineage: Eukaryota; Metazoa; Chordata; Mammalia; Primates; Cebidae. The record is from RefSeq and is a predicted model, not a curated record. The transcript has 2 exons.
CGCUGGCCAGUCAGUAAAGGACUCUUAAUUUGGAACUCAGUGCGUGGCACAUUCCUUCUAACUCGCUUGGUUAUUACAAUGCCAUGUGACUUGAUUUGCCAGUGGGAUGGUAGUAGAUGCAAUUCAAGUAGGGGCCCAGAAUGCGCUUUCAGGGUGAGUAUGACCUCUGAGCUUGUGCCUCUGCCAUUGUCAUGAGAAGAACACGUCUAGCUGGACCGCUGGUUCCAAGGAGAAUGACAGACUCUCAGAAUAGAUCUGCUGUUCCAACCAGCCGACAGGACAGCACCAGAACAAAAGGGGCAGGAUGACUGCAACGUGAAUGGUGGAACAUCCUGUUGCUGAAGAGCAGAUGCCAUGCUGAAGCAAGCAGUUUUAUAGCCUGCAGCUGCACCCUAAGUGGGAGUGAGGCAGAGAGCCUCCAGCCUUAUUAGAAUCCAGGAGGCAAUAAGGAACUGUCUCCUGACAGCCUUUUAGGAAGAUAGGGAGGCAAGUGAAAGAUGGCCUUGUAGUAAGUAGCUCUUUCCACACUGUAUAUUAUCAUUAGUCUCCUGCUCACAAAAGUGCUUGAAUGUACUGCUACCAGAGCAUCUCCAGAUUCCAAAAUUGCAAGCAAAUUUUCAAGUGCCAAGAUGAAAUCAACCGCAGUA